ACUAAACUAUGUAUAUAUCAUAUUCAAUUAGAAGAAUUUCCUCCAGCUAGCAAAAUUUCCUUUUUAAUAUCUACGAACAUCGCCGCAUAUGGAGAUUUAUCAUCUAGGUCUACCACUUCGAUACAUUAUCAGUUGUGCAAAUAGUAUUUUUCUCCAUCAACUUGUAUUGUGCUCCUUUGUUAGCAAUCGAGAAGACAAUAUCAUGGCCGAAGUCCAACUACUAAACAGGGCAUCUUGUCACUCCCAAGAACAACUAUUUUUUUCGAUAUCUAGCCUGGCAGCCUCAAAAUUGGCAUAAAGAAUCACAUGGAUGAAUAUCAUAUACUAAAGAAAUGUAGAAUGUAAAUCAUAAUAAUUGAUAGCCUAAUAACCCUUAAAAGAACAAACGUGUUUCUAGCAUGGGUAUACACAUUGAAAAACUUUAUAUCAGGUAACUCUAUAUAGCACGACAUCACAAUAUAAGGAUGGUUGAAUAAAGAGCCGAAUAGAAAAUGUCAAUAUUUUGUCAAAAGUACACCCUAAACUGCAGAGUGAACAGAAUCGAUGAAUUGCAGAGUGAAAACAAGUCAAAGGCUUGAAAAGUUGGGUUCUAUAAUUCUAUAGAACAAAGUGGUAGGAAGACAUAGUACAGUAUGCCAACUAAUGGAUGACAAAAGACAAAUUUAGGCAAGGUAACAAUUUCAAAAGACAAUAUCACAUUAAGGAUUGUGACCUACAAAACCAUCCCCAAACGUACCAAUCGAUGUCAGUGUGCUCGCCAUUUGUACAAAUAAAGCAAGGUUUGUAGUAAAAUUCUGAAGAAAAAAAAUGCCCAGAUUGGUAAAAAAAUUGCUCGAACUCCAUCCUUUAAAAUGGCAAAUUUAUUUUGGUGUUCAUCUGCAAUAAAAGAAUCUGAGCAAGAUGCAAUUUAUCUCUGAAACUAAAUAACCGUAUGUAGGUACGCGUCCAAUCACAAAGAACAUUAACUUGUGGAAUCUACAUAAUAAACUAAGACCAAAUACCUUGUGCAAAAAAGAAAAGACAAAACGUGCAGACGAUUUUGCAGAUUGCGUGUUCAAGAGUAUAGGAAAUCUAAGGGGGCUCACUUCCUUCUGUAACAGUGAAUUCGUCUUCUCUGAGGAGCUGCCGAGAAAGGAAUGUACGUAUGGUUAUACGAGCUGCAAUGACGAAGAUAAAAGUAUUUGCUACAUAAGUACUGACGUUGAUACCAAGGAAAUACUAACCAUCAGUAUGAUUUUGCAUCUCAGUUGUGUCUUAAUAAUUGCCCACGUCAUUUUUUCCACCAUUAACAACUUUUCCAAAUGUCGUAUGUGGAAGCUGAUGGAGCAUCACGUCCAUUUAGAAAAACUGUGCAAAAGAGCAUGACAAAGCAUUAAGAAACCCUUGCAUAUAUAGCAUCGUGUUUAGUUCAUACUUAUUCCAAAUUAAGUUUUACAAUUUAAACCGCAAUCUGCCUAUGCCCGUGGUCAAAAAAUGUACUUAUAUAUAAAAAAUUCUUCUAAGACAUAGUAUUAUUGUUUACCACUGAACUACGCAAAUAGUGAUCUUUUAGGCUUGUAGAUAGAAGACAUACUUCCAAUGAUGUUUAAUAGUAAAGAAAUAAGGAUUACUUACACUUGGUUAUGCACGGCCAACAGGGAGAUAACAUGCAUGCCGCUGCAGCAAAUAGAAAUCUAACUGCCAUCAACACAUCUAAAGAAGCCCACUUGAACAUGAAAAUCUUUUCAAAUACCUAGAUAAUAGAUAAAUGCAUGAACUAAGGUACGGUCAUGACAAUAGUUGGCAACAGGACAUGGGUAGAUUAAAAUCAAAACUCUCUUCUUUUACGGCGACAUAUUGUUCUGCAAUUAGCAAACCUCAAGAAGACAAUCAAUUGUCAUCUAAUGCUAAAGAACUGUACUGGACCACGGAUGAGUCAGAUGAACAAACCUUGAGCUCCCAAGAUUUGAAAUUGCCUGGAUCAUCCCCCUGCAGCCCCUCUCCGUUCACCAAGCGACCUGUUGAAUUAGGUCUCUGCUGUUACAGAAAUCCAAUGAAAAAACAAAAGGUGUCAAAUAAUAUACUUGGUGACGUGGUGAGAUUGUAUUCAGGAUGCAAAAGCUACAUGAUCAGCUAGUAGAUUUAAUUUACAAGACGCAAAGAACAUUUGAGUAAUUGAAACAAAUUUCAAACUUGUAUAACAAUCCGACAUUAAAGUAUUCCUUAUUUCUUUACUCAAACCUUGAAGUGUUGGAUCAUCACAAUCAACAUAUUGGUGAGACACCAUCCAAAUCAUCAAAGGAAUCGGGAAUAUAACAGAGGACAGGAGAUGAGAGGUGAGAUACCUUACUGCUCGGGGAAGCCGCGGACAGAGGAGAGGAGGAGCAAUAUCAGCAAGCUUACGCCGGAG
RNAcentral lists this long non-coding RNA (2389 nucleotides) under Triticum aestivum (bread wheat). RNAcentral's name for it is "long non-coding RNA (TAES_LNC021388)". Lineage: Eukaryota; Viridiplantae; Streptophyta; Magnoliopsida; Poales; Poaceae. The record is from RNAcentral.